This 1346-nucleotide ribosomal RNA is filed under the name uncultured bacterium. Its description in RNAcentral is "bacterial SSU rRNA". It matches the Rfam family "Bacterial small subunit ribosomal RNA", at positions 28 to 1381 of the family's 1533-position model. The record is from RNAcentral.
GACGAACGCUGCCUGCGUGCUUAACACAUGCAAGUCGAACGGAAAGGCCCUGCUUUUGUGGGGUGCUCGAGUGGCGAACGGGUGAGUAACACGUGAGUAACCUGCCCUUGACUUUGGGAUAACUUCAGGAAACUGGGGCUAAUACCGGAUAGGAGCUCCUGCUGCAUGGUGGGGGUUGGAAAGUUUCGGCGGUUGGGGAUGGACUCGCGGCUUAUCAGCUUGUUGGUGGGGUAGUGGCUUACCAAGGCUUUGACGGGUAGCCGGCCUGAGAGGGUGACCGGCCACAUUGGGACUGAGAUACGGCCCAGACUCCUACGGGAGGCAGCAGUGGGGAAUAUUGCACAAUGGGCGGAAGCCUGAUGCAGCAACGCCGCGUGCGGGAUGACGGCCUUCGGGUUGUAAACCGCUUUCGCCUGUGACGAAGCGUGAGUGACGGUAAUGGGUAAAGAAGCACCGGCUAACUACGUGCCAGCAGCCGCGGUGAUACGUAGGGUGCGAGCGUUGUCCGGAUUUAUUGGGCGUAAAGGGCUCGUAGGUGGUUGAUCGCGUCGGAAGUGUAAUCUUGGGGCUUAACCCUGAGCGUGCUUUCGAUACGGGUUGACUUGAGGAAGGUAGGGGAGAAUGGAAUUCCUGGUGGAGCGGUGGAAUGCGCAGAUAUCAGGAGGAACACCAGUGGCGAAGGCGGUUCUCUGGGCCUUUCCUGACGCUGAGGAGCGAAAGCGUGGGGAGCGAACAGGCUUAGAUACCCUGGUAGUCCACGCUGUAAACGGUGGGUACUAGGUGUGGGGUCCAUUCCACGGGUUCCGUGCCGUAGCUAACGCUUUAAGUACCCCGCCUGGGGAGUACGGCCGCAAGGCUAAAACUCAAAGGAAUUGACGGGGCCCCGCACAAGCGGCGGAGCAUGCGGAUUAAUUCGAUGCAACGCGUAGAACCUUACCUGGGUUUGACAUGGAUCGGGAGUGCUCAGAGAUGGGUGUGCCUCUUUUGGGGUCGGUUCACAGGUGGUGCAUGCCUGUCGUCAGCUCGUGUCGUGAGAUGUUGGGUUAAGUCCCGCAACGAGCGCAACCCUUGUUCACUGUUGCCAGCACGUUAUGGUGGGGACUCAGUGGAGACCGCCGGGGUCAACUCGGAGGAAGGUGGGGAUGACGUCAAGUCCUCAUGCCCCUUAUGUCCAGGGCUUCACGCAUGCUACAAUGGCUGGUACAGAGAGUGGCGAGCCUGUGAGGGUGAGCGAAUCUCGGAAAGCCGGUCUCAGUUCGGAUUGGGGUCUGCAACUCGACCUCAUGAAGUCGGAGUCGCUAGUAAUCGCAGAUCAGCAACGCUGCGGUGAAUACGUUCCCGGGGCU